Long non-coding RNA from Mustela lutreola (European mink), 2288 nucleotides. RefSeq lists it as uncharacterized. The transcript is spliced from 3 exons. The record is from RefSeq and is a predicted model, not a curated record. Lineage: Eukaryota; Metazoa; Chordata; Mammalia; Carnivora; Mustelidae.
CAUGUCUCUUUAAAUUUGCUGAAGAAGAUAUUCCUUCUGGCCCACAGGAUGCCAAAAUGACUUGAUGAUUUAUUUAUGCAGCACUUGGCAGCCCAUAGUCCAGAUUGUGGCUGAGACUGAAUCUUAUGAACCGCCCCCCAAACAGACAUACCAGAGGACAGAGCUGGAAAAUACACAGGUCACUGGUGCCAGGUAGCAGCCUGUACCCUGGAGGUCUUUCCGUAUCUCAGGCCAAAGACUGGUAAUCUCCCCGGGCAACGCCGAGAUAACACAUGUCAGGAGGCGGCAGUGGCUGGUAAACCAACUCAUCACCCACCUCGUCCCACCGCCCCUUCCGGCCCCCUCCCGUUGCAGUCUUCUCCAUGCCAUUCCAGAAGCCACAGACCUUUGGUGGACCAGGAGGGAAGGCAGAAGGGAUGGGGAAUGCAGAACACAUGCAGCAAGAGGGAUCUGGUGAGGCAGAACCCAGCAGGUGAACAAUGACUCAUUUAGAAACGUGCAGCUGGGGUGUGUUAUUUGCAUACCAGGGACCCUUUGUUAAAGUGGCUUCGUGCAGUGUGGGCGCAGCAGCAGGGGCGGGGGGAACACAUGAAUCCCCCUACAGAGCAGAGUCACUUCCCAUCUAAUUUGGGCACAAGUUGAGAGAAGGCGCUCUCAUCGGGAACCUGCUGCAGAGAAGCUGCGAGGUUCUGAGAUUUAUUUUCCGUCUGCCGAGUAUAUUAUUUCCAAACUUGCCUUUUCAAGAUCUUGCAAACUCCCUGGAAAAAUGACUUAACAAUGUAAUGAAAACAACAGUGAAACAAAAGCCGCUGUUGAUGAGGGACAGAGGUAAGGCUGGGUUUGAAAUGAGUGACGAACCUCGUAAUGAGGUGUGCAGCUUUGUGUAUGAAGCGAUUUCUCUGCGGUACUUUUCCAGAUGUGAUGGAAUACAUUUAUUUUGGUGCUCAUCUGAACUGAAAUAAUACAAAUGAGAUACGAAAAAGAUAUCAUUACGUGCAGAAGUAGGCGAAGAAUUUAGAAUCCCAGUUCUACAAGUUAACAGCUGUGCGCCCAGCAAUUUCGAAACAGCCUCGAGUCUGCAGGUUGCCCAGGAACCUCUGUCAAGCUCGUAUGGGCCAGCGAUGAUCUACGUGUGAAUCCUGCAUGUUGAUAGCUCAAGUCUACUUUAUUUCGGGCAAAAAUAAAUAGCUGGUAGUAAGAAGUCUGUCUGCACCGAGAGCCUGUGCUACCACUGAAUGCAGCCGCUGUGGUGGUGCAAUAAAACGGGAUGAGUUUUCAACUAGCAGAUGGUACCCUGUACAGUGCCUGAAAUAAAAUGGAGAAUUAGGGUGCCCUAAGGUGUGCACAGGAAAGGCAAUUACAUGAAAUAAAUGGGCCUCAGGCCUACAGGAUGCUCAAGUAUGCUACACAGGAGACAAAUAGUACAUCUGGUGAACAGAUUUUAUCACACACUGGAAAGCCAUAAAGCACACCGUUGAAUAUCCGAUCCCCAUCUCACAAUGACAUUUUACCUGUGUUGGUAUUCAGUGCUGUUUAUUUUAAAAGGUGCUGUAAUCUCAAUGAUGUGUUUUAAAAGCCUCCUUAACACGGUUUUCUACUAUGUACGAUUUGGGGGAGGGGGACAGACACAAACCACGCAAUGAGAAUUUUGUGGACGAAUAGCCGCUCUGGUGGGACGAGAUGAGGUUUUGAUUUCAUUUACCCCAUUGCUGAUGUGACUUUGGUAAUAGGAUUAUACUUGUCAGCACUCCCUGUUUGGGAAAAUGCCAACAUAUUUUUAAUCCUAGUUCCCACAUCUCCAUUUCAUUGUCUGUAACCUCGCUAGAGUUUCCCUCCCUGCCCCCCCACCCACCCUUUUUCUUAAUGUUCAAAGAAUAAGCGAUCAGAGGUGGUGAGGGUUUGCAAGGAGAAUUUGUUGGCAUGGAGCCCCUUCUCCUUUCUUCCUCCACAAACGCAAAAUGCUUUCUGUUUGAAUAUUGUGUGUUCCUUUUCUAUUGUUAAAAAAAAAAAAAAAAAAAGACUGAGGAGCACGUAACAUUCAUUAUUGUUUUAAGAGUUGCUGUAAUAAAAUCCUCUCAGUACUUAAAGAUAGUUUUAGUGUCCCUCCUAGGAUUCAUUCUGGCUUUCAUAAUUGGGUAAUUGCAUCCCCUCCCCCACCAAUAAAUAUUUUCACCCAAUUAAGUUUAAAACUAUAAUAAAUUUUAAAGAAUUAUAGUCUAAAAAUUCAUACCCUAGAACCAGUACUAAGUAUGAAUAUUUAUCUUAAGCCACAGAGCAGUGCAGCCUGU